AUCAGAUACUGAUGAUGCUGGAGGGUCUUGAAAUCUUUACAGUAAAACCUGCAACUUGAAAACUAGCCUUCUGUAACCACAGUGCCCAAACGAAGAGGAAUGUAUGGAGAACUCCACGUGGAUCUCUGAUUGCGAAACCGUCACAUACACCAAGAGAGCCACAUGGGCAUGUGGCCCUCAAGGCUGGGUGAGAGGGCUCCCCUGUGUGUUGAACUAUGCAGGAGGGUGACGCGGACACAUUUCAGGUGGACUUUGCAAGGACUGAUGGAUAGCUACCUCAGGGACCAGAAUCCGUGGGAAGGGAUGGACCUGGUGUUCCCGUUCCCAUCUGACAGGCUCUCUUUUGUCAAGGUGGUAUUUUUCGUAAUAAAAGGGGAAGAGUAAAGACUGUCCAAGCAACAGUAGCUGCCAAAGAGAAAAUACGAAAUAGACACUUUUUUUUUUUGAGUCAGAGUCUCACUCUGUCACCCAGGACAGAGUGCAGUGGUACGAUCUCAAGCUCACUGCAGCCACCACCGCCUGGGCUCAAGUGAUUCUCCUGCCUCAGCCUCCCGAGUAGCUGGGAUUACAGGCGUCCACCACCAUGCCCAGCUAAUUUUUUUAUUUUUAGUAGAGUUGGAGUUUCACCAUGUUGGCCAGGAUGGUCUCGAACUCUUGACCUCAGGUGAUCCACCCGCCUUGGCCUCCCAAAGUGCUAGGAUUACAGGCAUGAGCCACUGCGCCCAGCAAAAUAAACACAUUUUAUAAUUUGUAUGUGGAAACAUGUUACUAUAGAAAGCAUUUUAAAGGUACGUUUUAAAGGUCCACUGUUAAAUAGUAAAGAAUGAAUCCGCUAGCGAAAAUGUUUUUAGGGAGAACAGCUGGAUCAAAAGGGCUUCUUUGGAAUUAGGUUGUUUUAGUAACUUCUGUUCCAAAGAAACACAGGUCUGAUAUUGCUAAGAACUGAAAUCGGAGGAGCCAGAGGCCCUUUUCAGUCCAGGCCAACAUUGUGCACGGCCACUGUGGGACUGACAACCGGGAUAGCUCAAGUUCGAGAGACCAGGUUUCAAACAUUAUAAGUUCCAGGCUUUGCAAGUCUUUAUUCUCUGGGGUAAUAUCCAGUCUUUCUGUUAUUGUCUCUUAAAAUUCUCUUCCAUGGCCCACAUUAAGGGAGUUUGCAGAGAGUGAGGGAGGCAAAACUUGAAAAGGGCCUGCAACACUUUAAACCUUCUCAGGUUCACCCACAUGAAACGGCUGUGCUGAGUGUGCUGCCGGUGCCCGGGGAGCUUCUCUGACUGUGACCCGGCAGAGGCUUCUGUGGCGGUGCAUGAGCGGCCCUACAGUGGAGGGUUCUCUUUGGAAACAAACAGCCCUGCUUGGUUUCAGUUUGAGGCCACUUAUCUUCAAUGUGACAUUUCUUGCCAAGCCCUGUGACACUCCCCAUUGAUGACUCCCAUAGGUACAGAUAAAGUUAAGAACAGGAAACAGAAGGGUAGGAUGCAUAGGGAGGGAGAGAAGCCCUGAAAACUUUUUUUUUCUUUUUGAAGCAUGGAAAACAAAUCUUUUAUGCCACUCCAGCCAUAAAUAAAAUUUUAACUUC
RNAcentral lists this long non-coding RNA (1579 nucleotides) under Homo sapiens (human). RNAcentral describes it as "long non-coding RNA NONHSAT192474.1". Lineage: Eukaryota; Metazoa; Chordata; Mammalia; Primates; Hominidae. The record is from RNAcentral.